This 77-nucleotide transfer RNA is filed under the name Bdellovibrio sp. RNAcentral describes it as "tRNA-Trp". It matches the Rfam family "tRNA". Rfam says of the family: Transfer RNA (tRNA) molecules are approximately 80 nucleotides in length. Their secondary structure includes four short double-helical elements and three loops (D, anti-codon, and T loops). Lineage: Bacteria; Pseudomonadati; Bdellovibrionota; Bdellovibrionia; Bdellovibrionales; Pseudobdellovibrionaceae. RNAcentral also lists the same sequence under 1 other name. The record is from RNAcentral.
AGGGCAGUAGCUCUAAUUGGUAGAGCAUCGGACUCCAAAUCCGAGUGUUGGGGGUUCGAAUCCCUCCUGCCCUGCCA